GAAUUCGCCAAGCUUGGAUUGUUCACCCACCAAUAGGGAACGUGAGCUGGGUUUAGACCGUCGUGAGAAGGUUAGUUUUACCCUACUGUGACUCGUUGUUGCGAUAGUAAUCCUGCUUAGUACGAGAGGAACCGCAGGUUCAGACAUUUGGUUCAUGUGCUUGGCCGAUCUCGGCCAUGGUGCGAAGCUACCAUCUGAGGGAUUAUGACUGAACGCCUCUAAGUCAGAAUCCCGCCUAUGAAGGCAACGAUGAAAUUUGCUCGCCGGUGUCGGGAGGCACUUCUAUGUAACUUUUAAAGUUACAGCUAAUGCCCCAUUAUAUGGUCUUUCCGAACGAUUGAAAAGUCGUGCGGUUGCCAAAGCCGGACUACACGGUACAACGUCGGGGCGCAAAAUCACUUGCAGACGACUUGAUUACUGGUCAAGGUGUUGUAUCCAGUAGAGCAGCCUCCAUACUGCGAUCUGUUGAGACUCAUCCUUUGAUUGGACGAUUUG
This 495-nucleotide ribosomal RNA is filed under the name Ascaris lumbricoides (common roundworm). Its description in RNAcentral is "eukaryotic LSU rRNA". It matches the Rfam family "Eukaryotic large subunit ribosomal RNA", at positions 2910 to 3400 of the family's 3401-position model. The record is from RNAcentral. Lineage: Eukaryota; Metazoa; Nematoda; Chromadorea; Rhabditida; Ascarididae.